Molecule: ribosomal RNA, 305 nt
Filed under: uncultured bacterium
Lineage: Bacteria
Description: bacterial SSU rRNA
Rfam family: Bacterial small subunit ribosomal RNA
Source: RNAcentral
CUUCCUACGGGACGCAGCAGUAGGGAAUCUUCCACAAUGGGCGAAAGCCUGAUGCAGCGACGCCGCGUGAGUGAAGAAGUAUUUCGGUACGUAAAGCUCUAUCAGCAGGGAAGAAAAUGACGGUACCUGACUAAGAAGCCCCGGCUAACUACGGGCCAGCAGCCGCGGUAAUACGUAGGGGGCAAGCGUUAUCCGGAUUUACUGGGUGUAAAGGGAGCGUAGACGGCAGCGCAAGUCUGGAGUGAAAUCCCAUGGCUUAACCAUGGAACUGCUUUGGAAACUGUGCAGCUGGAGUGCAGGAGAGG